RNAcentral lists this ribosomal RNA (1208 nucleotides) under metagenome. RNAcentral describes it as "SSU rRNA". It matches the Rfam family "Eukaryotic small subunit ribosomal RNA", at positions 558 to 1710 of the family's 1831-position model. The record is from RNAcentral.
AGUCUGGUGCCAGCAGCCGCGGUAAUUCCAGCUCCAAUAGCGUAUAUUAAUGUUGUUGCAGUUAAAAAGCUCGUAGUUGAAACUUGAAUAUUUUAAUAAGUUUGGUUUAUUUUCUAUAAAUGAACUACUUAUUGGUAUUCUUCCUACUAGAAACUCGAUUCUGUUCUUAAUUGAAUGGAAUAGCAAUUUGAAAGGAUUGUCAAUUCGUAAGAAUUGGAGUUCUAGUUCAUUUACUUUGAGAAAAUUAGAGUGUUUAAAGCAGCCUCUUUGGGCUCUGAAUAUAUUAGCAUGGGAUAAUAAAAUAGGAUUUAGUUAUUUUAUUUGUUGGUUUGAAAUAAUUAAAUAAUGAUUAAUAGGGACAGUUGGGGGUAUUUAUAUUGGGUGGUUAGCGGUGAAAUGCAUGGAUCCACUCAAGAUAAACUAAAGCGAAAGCAUUUACCAAGGAUGUUUUCAUUAAUCAAGAACGAAAGUUAAGGGAUCGAAGAUGAUCAGAUACCGUCGUAGUCUUAACUAUAAACUAUGCCGACCAGGGAUAUGAGUUGUUAUGAAUGGCCUUUUGGUUAUUCGAUUUCCUCUUGUGAACCUUGUGAGAAAUCAUAAGUUUUUGGGUUCUGGGGGGAGUAUGGUCGCAAGGCUGAAACUUAAAGGAAUUGACGGAGGGGCACCACCAGGAGUGGAACGUGCGGCUUAAUUUGACAACGCGGGAAAACUUACCAGGUCCAGACAUUAGAAGGAUUGACAGAUUGAUAGCUCUUUCAUGAUUUAAUGGGUGGUGGUGCAUGGCCGUUCUUAGUUGGUGGAGUGAUUUGUCUGGUUAAUUCCGAUAACGAACGAGACCUUUACCAUACUAAAUAGUUUGAUUUAUUCAUUUAUGAAUAGAUUUAUUUAAAACUUCUUAGAGGGACUAUUGGUUCUUAAACCAAAGGAAGUAAAGGCGAUAACAGGUCUGUGAUGCCCUUAGAUGUUCUGGGCUGCACGCGCGCUACAAUGAUAAGCUCACCGAGUAUUUAUUCUUUUGAAUAUAUCGCUGUAUUGGAAAAUAUGGCUAAUCUUAAACGCUUAUCGUGCUUGGGAUAGAUGAUUGCAAUUAUUUAUCUUGAACCAGGAAUUCCUAGUAAUCGUAUAUCAUCAGUGUGCGAUGAUUACGUCCCUGCCCCUUGUACACACCGCCCGUCGCUGCUACCGAUUGGAUGGUCCGGUGAAAUCCU